GAUGAACGCUGGCGGCGUGCCUAAUACAUGCAAGUCGAGCGAACAGACGAGGAGCUUGCUCCUCUGACGUUAGCGGCGGACGGGUGAGUAACACGUGGAUAACCUACCUAUAAGACUGGGAUAACUUCGGGAAACCAGAGCUAAUACCGGAUAAUAUAUUGAACCGCAUGGUUCAAUAGUGAAAGACGGUUUUGCUGUCACUUAUAGAUGGAUCCGCGCCGCAUUAGCUAGUUGGUAAGGUAACGGCUUACCAAGGCAACGAUGCGUAGCCGACCUGAGAGGGUGAUCGGCCACACUGGAACUGAGACACGGUCCAGACUCCUACGGGAGGCAGCAGUAGGGAAUCUUCCGCAAUGGGCGAAAGCCUGACGGAGCAACGCCGCGUGAGUGAUGAAGGUCUUUGGAUCGUAAAACUCUGUUAUUAGGGAAGAACAAAUGUGUAAGUAACUAUGCACGUCUUGACGGUACCUAAUCAGAAAGCCACGGCUAACUACGUG
Molecule: ribosomal RNA, 497 nt
Filed under: uncultured bacterium
Lineage: Bacteria
Description: partial 16S ribosomal RNA
Rfam family: Bacterial small subunit ribosomal RNA
Source: RNAcentral